CAUUUGGCAAGGGUUUCUGGGAAGAAGGGGGUUGCAGGAGCCAUGUGGACUGACUGGAGCAGGCUGUUACAAAGAGACACAGAGGUCUAAUGAUGUGCACCUGCAGGAACCUACUUUGAGAGACAAAUGUUGAUGCCGCCGCCUGGAAACAAAUAACACGGAACCCAGAGCAACUGGGGGAGGCUGUUUUUAAUGAGACACCGGGCAAUGGUGAGUCAAGUUUCCUUGGAUGUCCACAAGUUCUAGAGUUAUGAGACAGGUAGGAAAACUUUUCUCUAGCCAAUUUUCACUAUGCCUUGCAUGAUUUUGUAAACUUCUAGCCUGUCACCUCUUAAGUUCCCUCUGCUGUUCGGCUACACACUUGGCCCAACCAUUAGACCUGUGAAUUUAGCAAACAAGUGGCAAAUUGCAGGUAUGUCUGGGCCUGAGACCAAUCUGUAAAGAGAUUCCUCAUCCUUGCCCUAAAACUUCCAAGACCUCUUGGAGAUCAGGCCUGCUUUAUCUGCUACAACUGAUUCAAUGAUUUAGCUGUAAAAGAUGCAGGACCUAGCAGUUCCAUGUGAAGGGGAGGCACAGAUAAGACAACUGCAAGCUCAGCCUGAAGCAGCCUGGACAUAAAAACCAUGGGAAAUUGCAGUCAAACAUAACUACGCAUGAGUGCUAGUUAGUGUGUGAGGGGGUUAAGACAAUAGAGCUGGAUUCCUAGACUCAGCUAAGUGAUGCCCCCUCUUCUCAAAUGAGAGAGGAAGUGAAGCCUUUUCUUCCUGUUCCAUUUCUCUCCACAUGAUGUUAAUGGCCAAAGAAGACGUGCCUAAGCAGGCUCCAAGCUUGGAGCACAUGUUUGAAGCAACGUUUCUGUAUAUUCUAUCCAAGAGUAUUCUGCCUGAGUUUUCCUUGCUGCUGUCUGGAUACGUGAAUGAAUCUGACCUUUGGAACGUUUUGUAAGUAACACAUUUGAAACUUACUUCAGUGUUAUGACCAGUUCAGUGCUAAGAGGGGUAGGAAAGAGGGAAGCUCUGGAUACAGCUAAGUGGUAUUAAAGGGUGCAGUAACCUAUAUCCCCGCAUUAUAAUGCUGCUUGACUUUUGUGAAUUCAAAAUCUGCUACUGGGGGAUUUCUUCUGCUGUAGGGUGAGUUUAGCUUCACAUUUUGAAUCUAAGCACCCAGCUGAUUCUCUUGCUAUUCACCCUACACACAUGGAUCACAGGGAUUCAUGUUUCCUUCCCACAGAAGCUGUGUAGGAUUGAUGUGCUUUUACCUUUACUGUUCUUCCUUUCAGGAAGAGGAGGGAAUUUCUUUCAUCCAAGCUGGUGUUCUUCAGCUUUCCUGUCCCCAGGUGUUGUUGGCCUAUGACUCCCAUCAUUCCCAGCCUCCUCAGCCAGGGAUGGUGGGAGUUUCAGUCCAACUAGGGACACAAGGCUGAAAGGACCAUUCUAAAGGUUUAGGCAUUUGCUGCAUCCUAAAUGUCCUAAAUGAGGGACGCAGGUGGCGCUGUGGAUUAAACCACAGAGCCUAGGACUUGCCGAUUGGAAGGUCGGUGGUUCGAAUCCCCACAACGGGGUGAGCUCCCGUUGCUCGGUCCCUGCUCCUGCCAACCUAGCAGUUCGAAAGCACGAAGUGCAAGUAGAUAAAUAGGUACCGCUCUGGCGGGAAGGUAAACGGUGUUUCCGUGUGCUGCUCUGGUUCACCAGAAGCGGCUCAGUCAUGCUGGCCACAUGACCUGGAAGCCGUAUACCAGCUCCCUCGGCCAAUAAAGCGAAAUGAGCGCCGCAACCCCAGAGUCAGACACGACUGAACCUAAUGGUCAGGGGUCCCUUUACCUUUACCUUAAAUGUCUGAGAGGAAAGCACCCAGAUGCCCACCAUGGCUAAGUUCUCCUGAAGGUGGUUAUCCCUGUGUCUGGGCAGAGCAACUCCAUUAGUCCACUUUCACACCAUCAAAUUCCCUUGCACUAAGAAAAAGCAGGGUAAAGCAGAUCAAUCUGGAUUUCCAUGCACUUGGAAUGUUUUGUAUGCAGGGGCAUCCAAUGGUUUGAAUCCCCUUGCCCGGAUGUGCCACAGCUCAGAUAAAAACUGACCCGGUGGACACAUGCAGUAUACUCCCACUGUUUGUUUGGGAAGUGUUGUAAACAUAGCCACAGUCCACACCUAUCCUGUAUCUGUCACGCUGUUUCUUAUGAAAUACUGCAUUUUGUUUGAUGUGUGUUGCCCACCUCCGCCCAGCUUCUGAAUUAAUAAAAAGAACAGCCUAGCUGCGUUUGAAGCUCGUUCUACAUUCCUGCUACGUUAGAGCCAAUAUAUAUAUAUAUUUUAAAAAAGUUUACCAGCACUGAUUUUAAAAAAAGAAAUAAAGGAAGGACUCUGAGCACGUGCAGUUUUGCAUUUUGAAGUCACUGAGAUCACAGCACCAUCAUGACUAAAGGAACAAAAUGGGACAUGCUUCCUUAUGCUUUCAAUACAUUUCUUUGGGACUAAUAAUCAGCAUUUUGUUGCAGAAAAGAAGACCGGUGUGUUUUCCAAUUAGAAAUGAUAAAAUGAGCACCUAUAACCAUGCACACGGCCAGGUAUCUGCCCCGUGGCUAUAAAAUGUUUUAAAGAAAAGAUAAGUGGAAAGGAAGGAAGCUACAGUGGUAAGUAUCAGCCCUGGUGUCUUCAACUCCCAGGCAUGCCCACAUCAGUGGGACUGCCGUAUGCCUGGAUUUUCUUGGACAUUACCAUGAUUUCAGAGGCGGAAUGAAUGUCCGGGAGGAACUUCCUAAAGGUGGUGCUUUGUUUUGGAACUUAGGCAAGUAAAAAACAACAACUGAACAACAAAAACCUCAACAAUUUUGGGGUUUUCCUAAAAAAAAAAAGAAAGCUCAGCAACCUUGUGUGCUGCAUCACCUGACACGCUCAUUUUGA
Molecule: long non-coding RNA, 2900 nt
Organism: Podarcis raffonei (Aeolian wall lizard)
Lineage: Eukaryota; Metazoa; Chordata; Lepidosauria; Squamata; Lacertidae
Exons: 3
Source: RefSeq, a predicted model, not a curated record